This 468-nucleotide ribosomal RNA is filed under the name uncultured bacterium. RNAcentral describes it as "partial 16S ribosomal RNA". It matches the Rfam family "Bacterial small subunit ribosomal RNA", at positions 28 to 507 of the family's 1533-position model. The record is from RNAcentral.
GAUGAACGCUGGCGGCGUGCUUAACACAUGCAAGUCGAACGGAAAGGCCCAAGCUUGCUUGGGUACUCGAGUGGCGAACGGGUGAGUAACACGUGGGUGAUCUGCCCUGCACUUCGGGAUAAGCCUGGGAAACUGGGUCUAAUACCGGAUAGGACGAUGGUUUGGAUGCCAUUGUGGAAAGUUUUUUCGGUGUGGGAUGAGCUCGCGGCCUAUCAGCUUGUUGGUGGGGUAAUGGCCUCCCAAGGCGUCGACGGGGAGCCGGCCUGAGAGGGUGUACGGCCACAUUGGGCCUGGGAAACGGCCCAGACUCCAACGGGAGGCAGGAGUGGGGAAUAUUGAACAAUGGGCGCAAGCCUGAUGCAGCGACGCCGCGUGGGGGAUGACGGCCGUCGGGUUGUAAACUCCUUUCGCUAGGGACGAAGCGUUUUUGUGACGGUACCUGGAGAAGAAGCACCGGCUAACUACGUG